RNAcentral lists this long non-coding RNA (485 nucleotides) under Rattus norvegicus (Norway rat). RNAcentral describes it as "long non-coding RNA NONRATT008878". The record is from RNAcentral. Lineage: Eukaryota; Metazoa; Chordata; Mammalia; Rodentia; Muridae.
GCGGCGGCAGCGGCAGUCUCUGGAGCGUCCCUGUGAAGUGUCCCUGUUCUCGCUGCCGUGGGCCUCUCGGGGAGGCCGUCUGGAAAGCGAGUCGCUGCGGAGCCGUUCCCCUAGUCCCACAACCCUUCGGACUCUCGGUCCCAUCCUCGCGUUCCUGCUCGGGCUCCUCCAUCUUGGCCUCGGCAGUGGCUGCUACGGGGAGGAUGUGCCGCCUCCUGGCAGGGGGAAGAAGGAGGAGAAGAUGAAGAAGUACCGGCGGGCCUUGGCCCUGGUCUCCUGCCUCUCUCUCUGCUCUCUAGUCUGGCUUCCAAGUUGGCAUGUAUGCUGUAAAGAGAGUUCUUCAGCUUCAACAUCAUACUAUUCUCAAGAUGAUAAUUGUGCAGUAGGAAGUGAAGACAUACAGUUCCAGAAAAAGAAUGAAAGAGAAGAACCUAGUAAUGCUAAAGUAUCAGAAAAAUCAAAUUCAUAUUUAACUAUAUCUCCAG